CACAAUUUUUAAAAUCUUGUCCAUACUUAUUUUAUUGUCAUCAUUUCACAUUAUAUCUUUCCAGUGGCGGAUAGUACUACUCUUUCUCACUGAUGGAAUAUAGCAUCUCAUAGCAGAUUAGAUGACAUAAGCUUGUGUAUUCACACCAUACUGCACUGCAUGCUAAUAUUUGUUGAUUCCACCGAGUUUCUCCUUGCAUAAUACUCCCUCCGUCCCAUAAUAUAAGAGCGUUUUUAACACUAGUGUAGUAUCAAAAACACUCUUAUAUUAUGGGACGGAGGGAGUAUUUAACAACAGAUCUUAUGCUAUAGACAUUUCCACUAAUUUAUGCUUAAAGGGGAAAUAUUUAUGUCUUCUAAGGGGACUAAAGGCUUUUGUUGUUUUUGUUGAUAGUAGAGCAUGUAAAUAGCUUCUUAGUUUAGUUAUUUAUAAGGAAGUUAGUUGAUGGUAGAGAUGCUCUGGUAAUCAUGAGUCAUUUUUCUCCUUUUUAAUUAAUAUGUUUCAUUUAUCUUCUAUUGUACCUCCAGUUUGGUACAUUUUUGUCAUUUAGCUCCAAGCUAUGGGACAAAAAGCAUCUAAAGACUUAGUUUUUAAAAAGAGAUUGACUCAAUUGUAUGCCCAACUCACAUCAGCAUCCAAAGAAUGUUAAUAGGAGCAUUUAGUGGAAAAUAUUGCCGCCAAAACUAGAGUAACAAACAAGUAUGUAACACAGUAUAUAUUCUGCUUUGAUGGUUGUAAUUUGGUAAUAAUAUAAUUUGUUUUGUAAUACAGUAGUCUAAAAGUAAAAUUAUGCUAUUCAGUUGGAUACUAAAUUAUUGUUAAAUUUACCUUUUUCAAGGGCUCUUCCCUUGAAAAGGUUACUUCUAAUUUUGGUGGCUACAUUGGUGGUUGGAUUUGGAAAUUUACUUGCAAAAGUUCAUUAUGGUUAGAAUUUCUCUCCAUUGGCUCAAGGUACAAUAAAUUAUGGAAAUCCACCCGCCUGAGUACUAGGAACUGGCUGCCGCGGCCCCACAUCGAAGCAUGCCUGCCCUGCCACGUGUCUUGCUCGUCAGCCGCCAACCCACCCUAGCCGCCACCGUCCUAGAGCGAAGCAUCCGCGCCCCGCCACCUCUCUUCCUCACUAGCUGCUAGCCUCCAUUGCGGUCUUUGCGAUGAUCCCGUUGUUGUUGUAGGAGCUGGCUGCCAGUGCCCCUGCUUGCCGAUUUUCAGCGGUGCCUGUGCCGCUGCCGCUGCUUGGUGGGUCGGUCCUUGCUCUGUUCCAUGCUCGUCUGACAUCAUGUGAUUUUGCUUGGUUCCCUUUAAGCAUUGUAAAAAGAAGGCAAUUUCUUUGUCACCGGGCUUCCUUUCCAUCCCUUGCGUGGUCUGCGUCUCUGGGCAUACUCUGGCAAGAUUUCUUAUCUGUUGUGCCCUGUUGCCCCCGUGGAAUCUUCACCACUCCCUAUGUUUGUUGUUGAUAAGGUUGUCUCUCAUGCUGCUAAGGUUGCUGAUGAUGUUGCAUGAUUCAGCAGUGGAUGAUGUUGCAUGACCCCAGAAAACACCAAGGAGAGACAAAAAAAAGGACACAAAAAAGUCUCUGGUCAAGUAAAACAAGAUCUAAUAUUCAGGCAAUGCAUGAUUCAGCAGUGGAUGUAUUAAGUCUAGUUGCCAGUUUGGUUUCGUGCCCGGGAGGUCGACCAUGGAAGCCAUAUUCUUGGUACGACAACUUAUGGAGAGAUACAGGGAGCAAAAGGAGGACUUGCAUAUGGUGUUCAUUGACUUGGAGAAGGCCUAUGAUAAGAUACCGCGGAAUGUCAUGUGGUGGGCCUUGGAGAAACACAAAGUCCUAGCAAAGUACAUUUCCCUCAUCAAGGACAUGUAUGAUAAUGUUGUGACAAGUGUUCGAACAAGUGAUGUCGACGUUGAUGACCUCCCGAUUAAGAUAGGAUAAUCAGGGGUCAGCUUUGAGCCCUUAUCUUUUUGCCUUGGUUAUGGAUGAGGUCACAAGGGAUAUACAAGGAGAUAUCACAUGGUGUAUGCUCAUUGCGGAUGAUUUGGUGCUAGUUGAUGAUAGUCGGACGGGGGUAAAUAGGAAGUUAGAGUUAUGGAGACAUACCUUGGAACCGAAAGGGUCUUAGUAGAACUAAAACCGAGUACAUGAUGUGCGGUUUCAGUACUACUAGGUGUGAGGAGGAGGAGGUUAGCCUUGAUGGGUAGGUGGUGCCUCAGAAGGAUACCUUUCGAUAUUUGGGGUCAAAGUCGCAGGAGGAUGGGGGUAUUGAUGAAGAUGUGAACCAUCGAGUCAAAGCCGGAUGGAUGAAGUGGCGCCAAGCUUCUGGCAUUCUCUGUGACAAGAGAGUGCCACAAAAGCUAAAAGGCAAGUUCUACAGGAUGACGGUUCGACCCGCAAUGUUGUAUGGCGCUGAGUGUUGGCCGACUAAAAGGUGACAUGUUCAACAGUUAGGUGUGGCAGAGAUGCGUAUGUUGAGAUGGAUGUGUGGCCACACGAGGAAGGAUCAAGUCCGGAAUGAUGAUAUACGAGAUAGAGUUGGGGUAGCACCAAUUGAAGAGAAGCUUGUCCAACAUUGUUUGAGAUGGUUUGGGCAUAUUCAGCGCAAGCCUCCAGACGCUCCAGUGCAUAGCGGACGGCUAAAGCGGGCGGAGAAUGUCAGGAGAGGUCGGGGUAGACCGAAUUUGACAUGGGAGGAGUCUAUUAAGAGAGACCUGAAGGAUUGGAGUAUCACCAAAGAACUAGCUAUGGACAGGGGUGCGUGGAAGCUUGCUAUCUAUGUGCCAGAGCCAUGAGUUGGUCGCGAGAUCUUAUGGGUUUCACCUCUAGCCUACCCCGACUUGUUUGGUGUUAGGAACUAAUAGUAUUGGUUUAGGAGUCCUAUUAGUCUAUGUUUACUUUCCUUGCACCUAAAGUCUUAUGUAAUAUAUAUAUGCCCUAUGGUCUUUCAAUAGAGAUAAGUUGCUUCCCUAACAUUUGGGACUAAAGGCUUUGUUGUUGUUGUUGUUGCCAGAUUAGUAGUAUUAAUUUUUAGAGUAAUUGUGCCAAAAAUUACGGAGAUGGGAUCUGCUGUACAUGCCUAUUUCCCCUGGUUACCAUAAUAGCUUCAUCAAUUUCCAAAUUAAUUGCCUCAAGUUGCCAAAGAUGGAUUUGCUAUACUCACCCACACCUAAUUUCCAGAUUAGUUGUCUCUAAAUGCCAGAUUCGCUGUAUCGGUUUCCAAAUUAAUUGUCUCAAGUUGUCGAAGAUGGAUUUGAUGUACUCACCUGCACCUAGUUUCUAGAUUAGUUAUCUCUAAUUGCCAGAUUGGUUGUACUAAUUUCCAAAUUAAUUGUGUCAAGUUACCAAAAAUGAAUUUUUUGUACGGGUAAUUUCCAGAUUAGUUGUCUCUACUUUCUAGAUUUGGUGUAUCAGUUGCCAUACUGGUUGCCGACCUUGCCAUUCUCGUGCCCGUGUCUUCCCCUUGUCAAAAAUCCCUAGCGCUCGCAUACAUGUGACUGAGAGAUCCCGUGGCACCUCCUGGAGUCCCGGGCCCCAUUCUAUCCCUUCGUCGUCUAGCUCGCGGGUGAUUAAGAUCACCCCAUGAAGUCUGUAAACAAAACACCGCAAAAAACAGUGAUGCAAAACAGAGAGAAAGGAGCGUGGAUUGCGCUCACUGGAAGCCGAGGCGCGCUCGCAUCAGAGCAGGCACGAGCUACCUCCAGUAUGGAGGAGUGAUCUUGCUGAAGAAAUAAAGGGAUAGAGGAGAGAGAGGGGAGGGGGGAUAGAAGAGCGGCAGGGAAGACAAUGCUAGAUACUAAGCAUCCUGUGGGCUUGAUGUGUGCGCUACUUCCGUUUCGCUGAACCACGCGAUGCGCAGGCACGGAUCUCAGCGCCCCGCCGCACGGGAGGGUGAGGAUGCGCACGCCCCUCGUUAGAUUUUCCCAACUAUGAAAAAGAUUCGAACUCUUGCCGUGAUCAGUGAUCAAUUGGCUGCCCAGUCUUAGUGGAGGCUGUGGACUCUUACCGCCACCAGCUAACUGCCUACACUCAGUGGCUUGAUGGUGAUGCUCUUGCUCGUGUUGUGUCCGUCUUCGUCGUGAAUGUCCUGCCUCAGUUUUCUUAUGAGAUUGUGUGACUCUUUCGGCCUUCAUCAUAUGGACUCACCUUCGUCAGCGAUACCAACAGGCUGGUGAUGCCAUUUACCAGUCCGCAGGGGCAAAACUUCAGCAGGAUGAUGCCUCUGUUGAUGAGUUCUACGCUUAGAGUUCUGCUAUUCAGCGUCAGUUGGAUUAUCUUUGCAUUGCUGGUUGUCACACGUGCUUUUGUUGCGUGGUUGUUUGUGUUGACCUGGAGUUCCAACAAAUUUCCGAGUUCUUGAUGUGGCUCUGUAAGGAGUUUGAGCCACGACAUGCCCAACUCUUUGUGAGUGUGCUCCAUGUCUCUUCUGAAGGCACUCACAUAGAUACACGUAGAGGAGACUCAUCUGCAUGGUGCUGGUUUAAUAGAGCUUUCUUUAGUGCUACACUGAAUACUACUAGCUACUUGCCCAUGUGUUGCAACGGGGCAUACAUGUUAUACUGGUUCAAUAACAAUCAUGUCCGACAUAUACCUUACGCCCAUCAUAUUCUAGAUUGUGGUAAGAUUUGAUUUGAUUUGAGUAUGGGUAGGGGAUGGUAAGGAAAGAUUUGAUUUAGUCGAGGUCUUGUUAAGAUUUGAUUUUAGUUGGGUAAGGGUAAGGGAAGGCAAGGAAAGUUUUGAUUUAUUUCAGGUUUUGAUAAGAUAUAAUUUGAUUGAGUUGAUGCGGGACAUGGUUAUGGUAAGAUUUGGUUGAGUUAAUGCAUGAUAUGGUUUCCAAUAGGACAAGGAAAGGAACGUAUCGAUGUGGUUUUGAUUAUUCCAAACCAAGGAGGGCAUGAAGAGUAAAAAUCAAUGUAAGGGGGCGAGGGAGGAGGUGAGGAUAUCGCUUGCACCUCCUUUUAGUUCAUGGUCUUCUGUGGUAUGCCUCAGGGGGCAUCCUUAGAGCAUCUACAACUAGGCUCCUCAAACCCCUGCUAAACGUUCGGGGGGACAACCCGAUCAUUGUCUGGUCACGAAUUCGCCACCCAACCACUCGCCUAUACCCAGCCCAUACCUAGUCCAAAUGUGGGGCGGUCCGGACGCGGCCCCCACGUCGGACUGGCCUAGUCUGACCCCACAAAUACCCCACCCUGGACAAAACCCUAGUCUAGUCUUGACUACUCCGCUCCACUGCUUGUCUCCUUCCGUAGUUCCGUCCACUUCGUGUCCCCUCCCCUCCCCACACCAUGUCCAACUCCAGCAACGGAUCCGGCAACGAGUCGUACUCCAUCGUCUGGGGGGCGCUCAAGGAGGAAUCUAGCUCCUUCGCCCCGGACGACGAGGAGCACAUCCUCCGCAUUGCCCUUCGCCGUUCAUGGAUGGAUAGGAGCGGGAACUCAAGCUCCGCGAUCGAAGGGGCAGCUCCGCAUUGGCCUGAAGCCGCACAUCGCUGUCCGUGCCCUCCCCUUUCAUGUGGUGGGGCGACUAGUGGUGCCUGGCACCUCUAGCCCUUGCUUCUCCCGAGAGGCGCUGGGUGCUCGUGCCCGCACUGUAGAGCCUGCUGCCAUGGCUGCCUGAGUUGAAGGUGCGGGUCGCUCGCUACGGAAGGCAAAAGGGCCGCGCAGGCCUUCAGCCGGCCUGGUUGGUGGUGGUGCAGAUCCGCGCUCGAGCCCCCCCCCCCCCCCCCCCCCGGCGAUCUCCUCCGCUACGCAUCCGCCGGUCCUUCACCUCGGUGGAGGCAGACGCUCACCGCCGCGGUUGUGGCAAAAAUGCGAAGGCGCUCCGGAUUGGCAUCGAGAAGUCCGAGCGCCUCGCGAAACAGAAGGCGGCGGCCGUGGCAUAAGCCGCCCGACUCACUAAGGAGCAGGCCCGCGCUGCUUGGCGUGUGGUCGGGAUCCGUUUCUCCUCUUCAUCUGACAGCGGAAGAACCAACAACGGCGAUGACUCCCCUCCUGCCAUCGACGCCUACGCCGAAGACUACAACCGCUGCUUCGGAGACCCCAAGUGGAAGCGACCAACGAGGAAGUGGUUAAGAGCGUGUUUGGUUCUCGUCCUUGAGUUGAAGUGCCUUGCCUGGAGAGCGCAUGGAGCCGCCUGUGCAUUGUUUGGUUGGUGAUCUGGGGAAUCAACUGCACGCCUGGCCUGGUAUAAGUCUGGCAUCCCCUCUGUAUCUACAAAAGAGGAGUCGAUGUAGUAACCAAACUAGCGAUAAGUCUGGCAUCCCCUCCGUAUCUACUAGCAUCUACUAGUAGUUUGCUAUCGUAUUUUGCUAUGUAGCUAUGUUGAACAUGCUAUCGAACAAUCUAUGUCUUGCUAUGUCGAACUUGGUAUGUCCUGUCCUAUUUAUGUUGAUCUACGUCUUGCUAUUUUCACGUUGCAUGCAUUGCAUGGAUUUGGGGGUUAGCAUAUGAGGGGGACGGCUGUGGACGCGGACAUUUGAGGGGUGACCGGACACGUCCGAGGAUAUAUAGGGGCUCAAAUUAGUACUACCUCCGUUCCAAAUUAUAAGAUGUUUUGGAUAUUUCAAUAUGGUCUACAUAGACUGAAAUGAGUGAACAAACACACUAAAACGCGUCUAUAUACAUCCGAUUCUCAUUUUUUUAUAAGAUCUUAUAAUUUGGAAUGGAAGGGGUACAUUCUGGUUGUAGAUGCUCUAAAGUGUUAGGGUUGUAAACUUGGUAAACAGAUUCAGUUUUCUUAAUGUUCACCUCCGAGCUUCUGAUGGCGAGCCUCCUUAUGAUCUGACUCACUAUCGUCAUCUUGUUAGUUGCCUCUUCUAUCUAGCAUCUCCUAUCCAGUUCGCGUUCUGGGUCACCUCCUUCGGGUUGUACAUAUCUUUCGAAUCUCUGGCCACUUUCUGCUUAAUGUGUCUUUUCUUAGUUAGUUUCUCAUUGCCAGGAAGACAAAGAAACAUAUUGCAAUUUCCCGUUUGAGCAGAGGCCAUGGUUGCAAGCUAUGGCUCUUGUGACAGAGGUGACUUGAUUAUGGUGGUUACUUGAGGAUUUUUGUCUUUUUGUUACUACAUUGACUCCUCUUUUGUCUAACAACACAUGUGCUAUUGGUAUUUCUUGAGAUCUGGUAAAAGCAUGAGCUCAACAAACAUAUUGGUAUGGACGCUUAUACUCCCUCCGUCCCAAAAUAAGUGUCUCAACUUUGUACUAGCUUUAGUACAAAGUUGUACUAAGCUUGAGACACUUAUUUUGGGACAGAGGGAGUAUGAGAUAAUAGGUACAAGAUCAGGUUGCUCUUCAGUAUGUGCCUUCAGAGCUUCAGUUGGAGGCCUUGGGAAUAGAUCAGGAUGCUUCCCUCGUAAAAGCUUCGCUGAUCGCUGCUAAGGCACAGGGUGCUGAUGACGUCGCUGACAACGAAGGCAAGGGCAUCAUGCUAUUUUGUCAGUACAAGGGAAGCGAAGAGAAUGGUGAGGACUCUGGCUGAUCUACUGAAGGAAGCUGUACGUGAUAGUUUCUUUCUACGAUGAUUGUUUUCUUCCUGCCGAUUCCCAAGAGGAUCUGGGGCCUCUUCCCAUUGGAGGCAUAUAUGUAUUCCUGAGUAUAUCUUGCAUGUACUGUCUUGUCAUAGCAAGCAACUUGGGACCAGCUUCAGACAAGUAGUAUGUUUCAGUUUUGAACCAAACUAGGCUACUCCUGCAAUGAAUGAAUCUCCCUUUUGGUUUGCACA
Molecule: non-coding RNA, 7702 nt
Organism: Aegilops tauschii subsp. strangulata
Lineage: Eukaryota; Viridiplantae; Streptophyta; Magnoliopsida; Poales; Poaceae
Source: RefSeq, a predicted model, not a curated record